RNAcentral lists this ribosomal RNA (244 nucleotides) under uncultured bacterium. RNAcentral's name for it is "partial 16S ribosomal RNA". It matches the Rfam family "Bacterial small subunit ribosomal RNA", at positions 524 to 764 of the family's 1533-position model. The record is from RNAcentral.
UACAGAGGGUGCAAACGUUUGUUCGGAAUUACUGGGCGUAAAGCGUGUGUAGGCGGCCUCGUAGGUCGGAUGUGAAAGCUCUCGGCUCAACCGGGAAAGUGCAUUCGAAACCACAAGGCUUGAGUGUCGGAGAGGAAGGCGGAAUUGUCGGUGUAGAGGUGAAAUUCGUAGAUAUCGACAGGAACACCUGCGGCGAAAGCGGCCUUCUGGACGAACACUGACGCUGAGACGAACGAAAGCGAUG